Molecule: ribosomal RNA, 427 nt
Filed under: uncultured bacterium
Lineage: Bacteria
Description: partial 16S ribosomal RNA
Rfam family: Bacterial small subunit ribosomal RNA
Source: RNAcentral
UGGGGAAUAUUGCACAAUGGGCGCAAGCCUGAUGCAGCCAUGCCGCGUGUAUGAAGAAGGCCUUCGGGUUGUAAAGUACUUUCAGUCGGGAGGAAGGUGUCAAGGUUAAUAACCUUGGCAAUUGACGUUACCGACAGAAGAAGCACCGGCUAACUCCGUGCCAGCAGCCGCGGUAAUACGGAGGGUGCAAGCGUUAAUCGGAAUUACUGGGCGUAAAGCGCACGCAGGCGGUCGAUUGAGUCAGAUGUGAAAUCCCCGGGCUUAACCCGGGAAUUGCAUCUGAUACUGGUCAGCUAGAGUCUUGUAGAGGGGGGUAGAAUUCCAUGUGUAGCGGUGAAAUGCGUAGAGAUGUGGAGGAAUACCGGUGGCGAAGGCGGCCCCCUGGACAAAGACUGACGCUCAGGUGCGAAAGCGUGGGGAGCAAACA